UGAUAACAUAAGGGAAAAUAAUGAUAUUACCUUAUUAUUAGUGUCGUCCAAAACUGGUGCCAGAAGACUCGGUAAGGCCAGAGACAUAAACGUUAAUCGUCUUAAUCAGGCGUAAAGGGUUUGUAGGCGGCUUUAAAAUUUACUAACAAAGAAAUAAAAUAAUAAGUAAAGAAUAAAAGCUAGAAUCAAAUAGAGGAUAUAUGAAAGAAUGCUUAGAGUAGGUCUGAUAUCCUUAGAUACUAAGUAGAAUAUUAAAGGCGAAAGCUUUUUUCCAUUAAUGAUUGACGCUCAGAAACGAAGGUGAGGAUAGGAAAUAGGAUUAGAUACCCAGAAUACCCCUCUCUGUAAACGAUGAAUGGUAGUUAUUAGUACAAAUUUAUUAAUGGCAAUGUUAACACGAUAACCAUUCCGCCUUGUGAGUACAACUGCAAAGUUGAAAACAAAAAAAUUAGUCGGUUUCGGAGCAAACGAAGUGAAGCAUGUUAUUUAA
This 490-nucleotide ribosomal RNA is filed under the name Russula favrei. RNAcentral's name for it is "mitochondrial SSU rRNA". It matches the Rfam family "Bacterial small subunit ribosomal RNA", at positions 434 to 949 of the family's 1533-position model. Lineage: Eukaryota; Fungi; Basidiomycota; Agaricomycetes; Russulales; Russulaceae. The record is from RNAcentral.